Molecule: ribosomal RNA, 221 nt
Filed under: uncultured bacterium
Lineage: Bacteria
Description: partial 16S ribosomal RNA
Rfam family: Bacterial small subunit ribosomal RNA
Source: RNAcentral
GACGAACGCUGGCGGCGUGCUCAACACAUGCAAGUCGAGCGGUAAGGCCCUUUCGGGGGUACACGAGCGGCGAACGGGUGAGUAACACGUAGGGUGACCUGCCCUUAGCUCUGGGAUAAGCCUGGGAAACUGGGUCUAAUACCGGAUAUGACUCCAUAACGCAUGUUGUGGGGUGGAAAGCCUUGUGCGGCUAGGGAUGGGCCCGCGGCCUAUCAGCUUGU